ACUCAAUAGAUACCCAGGUAGUCCCAGCAGUAAACGGUGCGCGUUUGGUGUGAGCAGAUUCGACUCUGUUCGCGCCGGAGCUAACGCGUUAAACGCGCCGCCUGGGAAGUACGAUCGCAAGAUUAAAACUCAAAGAAAUUGACGGGGGCCCGCACAAGCGGUGGAGUAUGUGGCUUAAUUCGAUGCAACGCGAAGAACCUUACCUGGGUUUGACAUGCAUCUCUAAGGAGGUGAAAGCUUCCGAGGGUAGCAAUACCCGAUUUGCACAGGUGCUGCAUGGCUGUCGUCAGCUCGUGUCGUGAGAUGUUGGGUUAAGUCCCGCAACGAGCGCAACCCUUGUAUGCUGUUGCUAUGCUUACGCAUAGCUCUCUGCGUAGACUGCCCCGUGAAACGGGGAGGAAGGUGGGAUGACGUCAAGUCAGCAUGGCCCUUACACCCAGGGCUGCACACGUACUACAAUGCUCAGUACAAUUAGAACCUG
RNAcentral lists this ribosomal RNA (481 nucleotides) under uncultured bacterium. RNAcentral's name for it is "bacterial SSU rRNA". It matches the Rfam family "Bacterial small subunit ribosomal RNA", at positions 772 to 1252 of the family's 1533-position model. The record is from RNAcentral.